This is a long non-coding RNA of Corticium candelabrum, 669 nucleotides long. RefSeq lists it as uncharacterized. Lineage: Eukaryota; Metazoa; Porifera; Homoscleromorpha; Homosclerophorida; Plakinidae. The transcript is spliced from 4 exons. The record is from RefSeq and is a predicted model, not a curated record.
CUGCUUCAAAAUUUGAACUCAGAAACUAAAGAGCAAGUUAUUAGAAAUAUAACAACUAUUUCUGUUAACCGGGAAGUUAUGUAAAGAUUCUUGCCAGAAGUGCAUCACCACAUCUGCCGAAAGAAGACUCUUGAGAAGCGAGAGCAAGAGAGCGAGAGCUAGAGAGAGAGAUUGCCGGAAGUAGCUUUCUGCUGUAGAAGAGAAGCGGAAGCAUUCUGAAGUCGUCACGAGUAAGUGUUGAUGAUACUUGGGCCAAUCGAUCUGCCGUCUAAUCUCUCGCAGCAAACACUUGGAACGAUAGAGAAUCAGUCACGAGCUGGCACUAGAGCAAUAAACAGUACUAAUUCAAGGUCCGGUGUUCAAGCCAACCUUGGCAUGUGUUAUUCAAAACAGUAUAUACAAUCUCUACUUAAGAUCAAUGACUGAGCAGUUUACUGCUCUCUGUGCAUACUUCUGCUCGCUCACUUGCUGAGGUUUAUCGGAAAAAGAAAGUGUUCAUGAAGAUGGGAGAAAUAGAAACGGAAGAAGGAAGCAUUAAUUGACGUCAAUUGUAUCAAAGGACGACGAGAUGAAAGUAUAAGACAGUAUUAGAUAUGAAAAUGUACGGUGACGCCAUGAGAUGAGACAAGGAGAAGAACGCUGUUUGCUUUUAGUUUUGUUUGUUUGUGA